This 460-nucleotide ribosomal RNA is filed under the name uncultured bacterium. RNAcentral describes it as "partial 16S ribosomal RNA". It matches the Rfam family "Bacterial small subunit ribosomal RNA", at positions 338 to 795 of the family's 1533-position model. The record is from RNAcentral.
CCUACGGGGGGCAGCAGUGAGGAAUAUUGGUCAAUGGACGAGAGUCUGAACCAGCCAAGUAGCGUGAAGGAUGACUGCCCUAUGGGUUGUAAACUUCUUUUAUAUGGGAAUAAAAUGUUCCACGUGUGGGAUUUUGUAUGUACCAUAUGAAUAAGGAUCGGCUAACUCCGUGCCAGCAGCCGCGGUAAUACGGAGGAGCCGAGCGUUAUCCGGAUUUAUUGGGUUUAAAGGGAGCGUAGGUGGAUUGUUAAGUCAGUUGUGAAAGUUUGCGGCUCAACCGUAAAAUUGCAGUUGAAACUGGCAGUCGUGAGUACAGUAGAGGUGGGCGGAAUUCGUGGUGUAGCGGUGAAAUGCUUAGAUAUCACGAAGAACUCCGAUUGCGAAGGCAGCUCACUGGACUGCAACUGACACUGAGGCUCGAAAGUGUGGGUAUCAAACAGGAUUAGAUACCCCAGUAGUC